ACUACAAUGGCGGUACAAAGGGCAGCGACACAGCGAUGUGAAGCGAAUCCCGAAAAGCCGGUCUCAGUCCGGAUUGGAGCCUGCAACUCGACUCCAUGAAGUUGGAAUCGCUAGUAAUCGCGGAUCAGCACGCCGCGGUGAAUACGUUCCCGGGCCUU
Molecule: ribosomal RNA, 158 nt
Filed under: uncultured Desulfocapsa sp.
Lineage: Bacteria; Pseudomonadati; Thermodesulfobacteriota; Desulfobulbia; Desulfobulbales; Desulfocapsaceae
Description: partial 16S ribosomal RNA
Rfam family: Bacterial small subunit ribosomal RNA
Source: RNAcentral